UAGCACCUAAAGGAAUUCAAUCAAGGGGAACCUAAUCAAUGCUUCACACCAAGAAGUGUUCCAACUGACCAAGCAUCUAGCCCUGUCUAUUCAGCAAAGACAGCAAGGGCCAGUGCUCUGGGCCCUGUGCCCAGGGGGCUCUAUUCCACAGUAGUCCUGCUGUCUCAUUCCCCUGGCACCAUCCUCACUUCCUCAGCAUGAAGCUCAUUCUCCAUCUCUUCAUCAUACUUGCAUUUCUAAUCCAGAGGAAUCCAGGUAACUUUUUCCCCAGAAGAUGCUGGGAUUCUCAAGGUCACUGCAGAAUCAGAUGCAAGAGUAAAGAAGAGAUGAAAAUGCUGUGUUCAGAUUUUAAACGAUGCUGUGUCCAUCCAAUUCAUGAUAUAAAUGAUGAAGCCUAUGAUACUAGGAAACCUACAAGUUUGAAUACUUUACCAGCCUUCCCAAUAUUUCGAUCAACUACCACUACAACAAGAAGAACAAUACCUGCCUUUACACGAGUCGUGUUAUAUUAGAAGGGCCUGAGCCCAUUUCAAUCACUUAACCUCUGCCAUUUGUCCCUACUGGAUUGAAUGAGAAAUAGAGGGUUUGAGGGUUUUCUACUUUUAAACAGUGACUUGCUCCUUAUGUUCUGAAUCAAUUAAAGAAAGCAUUUGAA
Molecule: long non-coding RNA, 655 nt
Organism: Antechinus flavipes (yellow-footed antechinus)
Lineage: Eukaryota; Metazoa; Chordata; Mammalia; Dasyuromorphia; Dasyuridae
Exons: 2
Source: RefSeq, a predicted model, not a curated record